Molecule: long non-coding RNA, 378 nt
Filed under: Marmota monax (woodchuck)
Lineage: Eukaryota; Metazoa; Chordata; Mammalia; Rodentia; Sciuridae
Source: RNAcentral
CCAAAUGUAGAACAAAUUAGACACACUUAAAGAAAACAACUUGAAAAAAAAUGUGGAAGAGCUGAAGAAACCAAAACAACUUCUUACUAGAGACAAUAAAAACAUGGAAGUAUUCAAGAAAGAAAUAGAAACCCUAGGCAGAUAUCAGCUCAGAAUUCCCCUCAGAUUGCAGCAUUGUAAGAAGAGAGCGUCAAACUUGCUAAGGAGCUGAAGAGAAGCACAGAUGAGGUCACAAGUCAUCAAAAUUGGGAAGAAAAAUCUGUGCUCAAUAAUCAGCUAUUAGAAAUGAAAAGGAAAGAAUCUCAGUGCAUAAAAUACACAGAUAAAAUAUAAACUUUUUUGCAGAAAUCCAUCAGUAUUACUAAUGGCUUACUCACA